Mustela erminea (ermine) is the source of this 120-nucleotide long non-coding RNA. RefSeq lists it as uncharacterized. The record is from RefSeq and is a predicted model, not a curated record. NCBI's taxonomy places the organism in Eukaryota, Metazoa, Chordata, Mammalia, Carnivora, Mustelidae. The transcript has 3 exons.
UCUGCCUGCAAAGAAUGGCCCAAAGGAAUGGGUGUCACAUGGUUGCUUCAUCCCAGAAAAGACCCCCAAAGUGGGUCCCAGGACCCCCAGUCUCCAUCACACUCCCCAGGCCAUCAGUAU